GAUGAAGAACGCAGUGAAAUGCGAUACUUGGUGUGAAUUGCAGAAUCCCGUGAACCAUCGAGUCUUUGAACGCAAGUUGCGCCUCAAGCCAUUAGGUUGAGGGGACGUCUGCCUGGGCGUCACAUAUCGUUGCCUGAUGCCAGUUUCCUCGUGAUGGGUGACUGUGCAGGGCGAAUGAUGGCUUCCCGUGAGCAUUGUUGCCUCAUGGUUGGUUGAAAAUUGAGUCCUUGGUAGGGAGCGCCGUGAUAGAUGGUGGUUGAGUGACGAACGAGACCCAAUCAUGUGAGACCCCUACCGAAUUUGGCCUUCAUGACCCACAUGCGUCUUUGGAACGCUCAUGACGAGACCUCAGGUCAGGCGGGGCUACCCGCUGAGUUUAAGCAUAUCAAUAAGCGGAGGA
Molecule: unclassified non-coding RNA, 400 nt
Filed under: soil metagenome
Description: partial contains 5.8S ribosomal RNA, internal transcribed spacer 2, and large subunit ribosomal RNA
Rfam family: 5.8S ribosomal RNA (bases 1-122)
Source: RNAcentral